CCUACGGGAGGCUGCAGUGGGGAAUAUUGCACAAUGGGGGAAACCCUGAUGCAGCGACGCCGCGUGAAGGAAGAAGUAUUUCGGUAUGUAAACUUCUAUCAGCAGGGAAGCAAAUGACGGUACCUGACUAAGAAGCCCCGUCUAACUACGUGCCAGCAGCCGCGAUAAUACGUCGGGGGCAAGCGUUAUCCGGAUUUACUGGGUGGAAAGGGAGCGGAGGCGGCGAUGCAAGUCAGAAGUGAAAGCCCGGGGCUCAACUCCGGGACUGCUUUUGAAACUGUAUGGCUAGAUUGCAGGAGAGGCAAGUGGAAUGCCUAGUGUAGCGGUGAAAUGCGUAGAUAUUAGGAGGAACACCAGUGGCGAAGGCGGCUUGCUGGACUGUAAAUGACGCUGAGGCUCGAAAGCGUGGGGAGCAAACAGGAUUAGAUACCCCUGUAGUC
Molecule: ribosomal RNA, 440 nt
Filed under: uncultured bacterium
Lineage: Bacteria
Description: partial 16S ribosomal RNA
Rfam family: Bacterial small subunit ribosomal RNA
Source: RNAcentral